ACGAUGACGACUACUAUGCUGAUAAUGAGGAUUAAUAUCUCGCUACCUGAAGCAUCUUUCUCAACAACGGGGCCAUCGCCGUCGUUUCCGCCACUCCCAGAAUCACCUCCGCACUCUGUUUGGUUAAAAAAGUGUCGACGAAGGGCGCCACCGUUUUCUCGACGAAUGAACCGAAGCCUAGACGAAAGUUUCUGGUGAUGUUCCCUAUCUCUUGCGCUGCAAAAAUACAAGGAAAGACUGCCGACUUCUGCUCUUUCUGGAAGCGCGCAAACUCCCUCUUAUCGUGCAAGAAAGUAGCCGCUCUCAGGAGUGCCAGGAGUACA
Long non-coding RNA from Patiria miniata (bat star), 323 nucleotides. RefSeq lists it as uncharacterized. NCBI's taxonomy places the organism in Eukaryota, Metazoa, Echinodermata, Asteroidea, Valvatida, Asterinidae. The transcript is spliced from 3 exons. The record is from RefSeq and is a predicted model, not a curated record.